GUGGGGCCUGGAUUGCCACCAACAUUAUGUAGCGGAGCCUGGGCUGGGUGGGACAGGGGAUGGCCCUGGGUUCCCUGGGACUCAGGUCUCCUCUCCACACACUCACAUUCCUCAUUGUCUUCCUGUGCCCAUGGCUGUCCAACAUGUGUACCCUCCAGAGACAUCUCACUGGAAGUGGAGGUUUCAGAGUAAAGAAGAACAGGUCAGCUGGGAGAGGCCACCUGGGGGACACAAAUGGCCUGUUCGCUGUUUCCACCACAGAGUCUACAAUAGAGCCUCAGACAGAGGGGCUUCCCUCUUUCUGUGCAGAGGUGGGGUCCAACUCAGCAGACUGUGGACACCGUGUCCAGAGAGCACAGAGGGCCCUGAGCCACCAUGUGGACAUAGAAGGCAGCAGGCCCUUGAAGAUGUGGUUUCAUCUAGACAGUACAACCAGUGGCCUCCAUUAUGCUCUGGGGGAGAUGCUCAAGGAGGGAGGAUUUGACUAG
RNAcentral lists this long non-coding RNA (488 nucleotides) under Fukomys damarensis (Damara mole-rat). RNAcentral describes it as "lncRNA (ENSFDAG00000033564.1)". Lineage: Eukaryota; Metazoa; Chordata; Mammalia; Rodentia; Bathyergidae. The record is from RNAcentral.